GGAAACAAGUUCAUUGGUUUUGCUCUCGCUCCCUGUCCUUGCCCUAAUUUUUUUUCCUGGCAGCUGGUGGGAGGAAGGGAGCUGGCAAGGAUGAAAUUUGCAGACAACUUCCCCGACCGCCCGCGAGCGCUGGGGCUCCGCCGUGAGGAGCAGGACAGGUCUCCCCAGGACACACAGGCGCCCAUCGAGCGAGUACAGGGCUUGGCCAGGGCUUUAUUUUUUUCGCUUUUUGGGUUAGAAGAGCUAAAUUUUAUUUCUUAACUCUCUGGUUAAGGAGCUUCCCAGUGCACGGAGAGCGGGAGCGGCUGGCGGCUGAGCAGAGCCGGCACAGCCGGCGCCAGCGCCCCGUCGGGGACCCCCAUCCCCACGGCGGGGCAGGAUCCGUCCCCGGCCGCCCAACCUGGGAUGGCUCCUUUCGCCUCUUCCCUCUUAAUUUUGUUUAGAAACUUGUCAGGUUGGUAGAUAAAGGAGGUGGAAAGAUCAAUCCCGGCUUUUCAUCAGUGUGGGAAAAAGUAUUUCACUAAUCCAUAUUUAUUGGUGUAAGGAACCGGGGGGGGCGGGGGGGUGGAGGGCAAGAGACCCUAAUGGUCAGAGCAAAGGACAGAAGGGACAGUUUAAGGCUGCCCUUUUCCGAGAGGUCACAUGUCACCAAAAUCUUUCGGUUGUCUCGGGAUUGGUUACAUUCUGUUCUCUUUUUUUCUAUUGAGGUUGCCAAGCAACUGGCUAAGACCAGCCAAGAUAUUUUCUUUAUUACAAGUGGAGCAGAAAGCAGCAAGGAGGAGAGAGAUAAAAAAAAAAGGAAAAAAUAAAAAGAAAAAGAAAAAAAGAGAAGAAGUUUAGACAAUUAACAUUUAUAGGAUCACAUAACUUCAUUAACUCGGCUGAGAUUUGGGAAAGAGACUUUAAAAAAAAAAAGGUGGUGGUAGGGAGCGUUAGGAAUUAAAACAAGUUAAAAGGCCGGCAGGUCUGUGGCUAAAACAAUGCCAGAACACCCGGAGCAGCGACAGGGGCUUCCCUCGGAUGGUUCCCGCUUCCCAAAGAGUGGCCAGUCCCAGGCAAUGGCUGCAACCCAGCUCAAGGACCUUCAGCUGCUGCUGCUCUUUUUUCUUUUUAUUAAAUGCUGGCUUUCUUUUGGUUUUCACA
Catharus ustulatus (Swainson's thrush) is the source of this 1143-nucleotide long non-coding RNA. RefSeq lists it as uncharacterized. The record is from RefSeq and is a predicted model, not a curated record. The transcript has 2 exons. Lineage: Eukaryota; Metazoa; Chordata; Aves; Passeriformes; Turdidae.